UCCGGUUUGUCACCGGCAGUCUCCCUAGAGUUCCCGACCGAAUCGCUGGCAAAUAGGGACAAGGGUUGCGCUCGUUACGGGACUUAACCCAACAUUUCACAACACGAGCUGACGACAGCCAUGCAGCACCUGUCUGAGCGUUCCCGAAGGCACCAAUUCAUCUCUGAAAAGUUCCGAGUAUGUCAAGGGCAGGUAAGGUUCUUCGCGUUGCAUCGAAUUAAACCACAUACUCCACCGCUUGUGCGGGUCCCCGUCAAUUCCUUUGAGUUUUAGCCUUGCGGCCGUACUCCCCAGGCGGGGCGCUUAAUGCGUUAGCUACGGCACGGAUUCCGUGGAAGGAACCCACACCUAGCGCCCACCGUUUACGGCGUGGACUAC
Molecule: unclassified non-coding RNA, 378 nt
Filed under: uncultured Pseudomonadota bacterium
Lineage: Bacteria; Pseudomonadati; Pseudomonadota
Description: uncultured proteobacterium contains 16S-23S intergenic spacer region
Source: RNAcentral